Danio rerio (zebrafish) is the source of this 264-nucleotide non-coding RNA. Lineage: Eukaryota; Metazoa; Chordata; Actinopteri; Cypriniformes; Danionidae. The record is from RefSeq and is a predicted model, not a curated record.
UAAGAGCCAGGGCGCUUCAAGUGACGUAACGAACCGGGAUGCGCGCGCCCGACACUGGCCUCCAUGACCGCGAUUAUUUACUGCUUAGGAUAGAGACCUGUCUUCUGCACGCCGAACGCAGUGAUGAAGAUGUUGAUGAUGACGAUCUGGCGUUUACCCAUGUUGACGAAGAGGGCGCCGGCGAGCACCUGGAAGAAGAGUGAAGCGCCGAUGAGGAUGAUGACGGUAAGGUAAUAUCUGAAUUCUGGGCCCUGCUCCAGUACG